RNAcentral lists this signal recognition particle RNA (293 nucleotides) under Aotus nancymaae (Ma's night monkey). Its description in RNAcentral is "Metazoan signal recognition particle RNA (ENSANAG00000000687.1)". It matches the Rfam family "Metazoan signal recognition particle RNA". Rfam says of the family: The signal recognition particle (SRP) is a universally conserved ribonucleoprotein. It is involved in the co-translational targeting of proteins to membranes. The record is from RNAcentral. Lineage: Eukaryota; Metazoa; Chordata; Mammalia; Primates; Aotidae.
GCUGGGCGUGGUGGCACUUGCCUGUAGUCCCAGCUACUCGGGAGGCUGAGCUGGAAGGAUCACUUGAGCCCAGUCUGGGCUGUAGUGCCAUGCUGAUCCGGUGUCCGCACUAAGUUUGGCAUCAAUAUGGUGACUUCCCGGGAGCGGGGGACCACCAGGUUGCCUAAGGAGGGGUGAACCGGCCCAGGUCAGAAACGGAGCAGGUCAAAACUCCCGUGCUGAUCAGUAGUGGGAUCACACCUGUGAAUAGCCACUGCACUCCAGCCUGGGCAACAUAGUGAGACCUCAUCUCU